AGAUUAAUUACGAAACCAGAUUGCUUAUUUGCGCGUGUUAUGAAAGCAAAGUAUUUUUCACAUAUUGAUUUUAUAAAUGCGAGGUUAGGAUCUCACCCUUCGUUUACCUGGAGAAGUAUUUAGAGUGCGAGGAAACUUUUGGAGGAAGGAAUAGGAUGGAAAGUGGGGAACAGAAAGUCGAUCAACAUCUAGAAUGAAGCUUAGAUCCUGAGACUUGGGAAUGAAAAAGUAAGAGUUCAGCAUAUUAAUAUUAAUUUUAAAUCAGUAGCAGACCUCAUUUCUAAUCAUAUUACCUGGAGAAUUGAUGUGUUACGACAGCUUUUUGAUGAAGAGCAAAUUUCCAAAAUUCUGUCCAUCCCACUUGCUGUAGUGGAUAUUCACGAUGAAAGGGUGUGGUGGGGUGAUAAAAGAGGGGUAUAUUUCGCAAAAAGUAGAUACAAAUGGCUGUUACAGGCGGAUACGAUAAUAGGGCAAGGGGAGGGGAUACAUCAACCUACGCUACUACAGAAAUUUUACAAAAAAUUAUGGAGAUUAUAGGUUGCAAAAUCAAAAUUAUAUUUUGGAGAAUCGCCAAUAACUUCCUCCCUACUUUUAACAAUUUAAAAAAUAGAAAUUUACAGGUUGUGAAUCUUUGUCCUCUCUGCCGUACAAUGGAGCAAUCAGUGAGUCACGUCUUCUGAGAAUGCACAUACAUUAAAUGUGUCCUGCAAUGAGUGGGGAUUGAUGGCUCAUCCAGUAGCCCGGAAAAAAAUUAGAAUAUGUGGUUAGCAAAUUUAUUUUUGAAUAUGAAAGAAGGGCAGUGUAAAUGGUUAGUCAUGAAGUUCUGGGCAGUAUGGUAUCACAUAAACAAAGUUUAUCAUUAAGGAGAAAGGCAAUGCAAAACGAGAUUGAUAUCUUUUAUUAAGUCAUUUUACACAGAGAACAUUCAACUAGAAGUAGUGAUAGAAGUAGGUGUUCAACAAAAUGGCUGUGCAUGGACUCCACUAAGGAUAAGUGUGGUAAAAGGUAAUUUUGAUGCAGCGUAUAACAGUUAUAUGAUGACUUCAGUAACAGGAAUAAUUUUUAGAGAUUGCGAAGGACAUAUACUGGCAACAUGCACUUACCCUAAUACAUUUGUGGUUGAUGCAACCACGGCGGAGGCGAGAGCUUGUUUACAAAAGGUAGUAGUGGUUGAAGAUUUGGGAUUCAGAAAUCUGGAGGUUGAAAGGGACUCCUUGACAGUCAUAAAGAAAAUCCAAACAUUUGAAGAGGACAAAUCAAAUAUUGCUGUGAUUAUUAAAGAAAUAAAAGAAAAAGCUCGGAGGUUUGAAAGCUUUACUUGUCAAUUUACGGGCAGAUCAAUGAACCACGCGGCGCAUAUAAUGACGGAGGGAGGGAAACGAUGAGAUUCACCGAGGUUCUAGGCUGAAGAGGCACCUCCAAGAACGAAAUUGGCAGUUGAAGAAGAUAGAAGGUCCCUGUCAGAAAGGUGAAAUGAGUCGGAGAAAUAAGAAUAAAAGGAAUCCGAUGGUUUCAGUCUCUACACACAAUCCAUCGUGAACGAAAAAGGAGUAGGAUGUUUGAUGGUUUUGACAAUGGUUGUAGAGAAGUUGAUGAAGGAUGCCAGAGAAUUGAAUAAUUUUCUUUUUCAUUUAUGUUUUCUUUCUUCAUUUCAGAUUUGACGUUUGGGUUUUUUUUAAGUUUAGGCUUUAAUUGUAUUUGUGUAGGGGUUUUUUAAAGUAAAGUUUUUUUUUUUUUUUUUAAUUCUUGUAAAGCCUUAAUUUUCAUUUAUUAGGC
RNAcentral lists this long non-coding RNA (1776 nucleotides) under Gossypium barbadense (sea-island cotton). RNAcentral describes it as "long non-coding RNA (GBAR_LNC020889)". Lineage: Eukaryota; Viridiplantae; Streptophyta; Magnoliopsida; Malvales; Malvaceae. The record is from RNAcentral.